Long non-coding RNA from Medicago truncatula (barrel medic), 1262 nucleotides. RefSeq lists it as uncharacterized. The transcript has 2 exons. NCBI's taxonomy places the organism in Eukaryota, Viridiplantae, Streptophyta, Magnoliopsida, Fabales, Fabaceae. The record is from RefSeq and is a predicted model, not a curated record.
GUUAAAAUCUGUUAGAGUUAGUUAAGUGCUUCUAUAGUUCAUUUAGAAUUUGUUACUAGUUUGUUAAGAUCAUUAUGUUUAUACCUAGUGACUCUAUAUAAACUAGUAAGCUCUUGUAAUAGAUUCAAACUUGACAUUCACUUUGAGAUAAUCAAUAAUCUUGAGCAAUCAUGAGAGCUUAAAAUUCUCUCUUCAAUGGAGUAAUUUGAUUUAGGUUGGAUAUGUAGAAACACAUGAUAACAUUUGGGCAAUUCCUUUAUUUCUUGUUUCUCCUAUUGCGCUAAUUGCACGUGUUCGCUAGUACAAAAAGAGAAAACAUCUACAUCAAUGCUGGAAAGUACUCCCUAGAGAAAGUGGUAAGAAAUUUCCAAAAGCAAGCACAAUAACUUUUCUCAAAAAGUACUAUUAAUCAGCUCUAUAUAAUGCAAAACUCCAGUUUUACUUCACAACAACAAGAAAAUUGUGCCAAGAGUUUUGGUUAGGAAACCAAGCAAGACGUAGUUUUACUUCACUUCACAAUCACAACAUGUGUGAGAGGGUGACAAAUCUCUUAAUUAAGGGAUCACAUGGUUGAAGUAGCAACAAGCUGAUUCACCUUUGUUUUGUUCAAAAUGAAUGAGAAGUGAGAAUUCAGAAUUCCCAAAAUGUUCAAAACUCUCAAUAUGUUGGCGAGAAAGUCUUCCUUGGAUACAAGCCCAACACAUCAUAUUUGGACACAUCCAAUUAAAUUAUGACAGCUCAUAAGAUAUACUGUUGCAAAAUAAAAAAAGAAAAUGGUUGUACUUUCAAGAUUAAUCCGUGACUAUCACAUAUUUUCUAUAUAAAAUAAUAAAAAAAAAAACCAUUAAUUGUCUUUCUCUCUUCCAACUUUGUGGCCACCUGCGAUCUCCGCCUGCGAACUUUGCUGUGCUUCCACUACUUCGACCUUAAGUCCAUCGCGCGCUGCACUGGCUCGUCUUCUCCAUCCGCUAUGAUAACCGCACAACAAAGCACCACGUUCUGAUGAGAUUGUGGAAGAACUCAAGACUUUAACCAUGUCUUUUAUGGAGUCUGGGUUGGGAUUUUGGGGAUUUAGGUUAUGAUUAUUUUCAAUAUGGUUGAGAAUUAAAUUGGAUCUUAGUAUUUCCUUACUCUGUAGCAGUCCUUAUUGUUAUGCCCAUUUCUUGUAAUUGUAAGAUUGAAUCAAUUCUUGGAAGAGUUUUGUCCAUCAAUGGAAGCAUUCUGUUUUAUCAUUGUGGUUCCCUUAUUGCUUUUGUUGUUUA